AUGCUUACUGCCAACUUGGCAUGUGAAACAGUCGCCGGACAGGGAAUUUACCCGAAAGACUCCCUCUCCCACCGCCACAUGGAAGCUACUUCAAAAACUCUCAGUCGACCAACUUCUUGAAGAGCACACUACCUGAUUUUGGUUACGGUACACCAAUGCCCGCUUACAAUGCACCGAUAGACGAUAAUCAUGUAUUCUUCUUCUAGCACAUUACUAAACAACUUGUAGGAUCGUCUCUGAAGCUAAUAGUUUCUCUUUAAUUGAUCAGAUUUGCCCAAUUUGCCUCAGCAAUUCCAAAGAUAUGGCAUUCAAUUGUGGCCAUCAGGUAAUGUUCUAAUCGCGCUAUUUGCUUAUGUUUGAUAGUUGUCUCAUUUGUCUGAAUUCUGGAAACUAUGCAGACAUGCUGCGAGUGCGGCAAGACGCUAGAUACCUGUCCUAUCUGCCGGAGCAACAUCACAAGCAGAAUCAAACUUUACUGACUUCCCCAAUCUUCCGAUAGUCUCUGGUUCUGUCCAUAAGUGUAUACACAGAAUUGUGUAUAAAAUUUGUGGGAAAAGAUAUAAUAAGAGAAGUUUGAGCAGAUAGAUAGAUGAUUUAAAUUAAAUUAGUUACUCUUUAGUCAGUUACAAAAUGCAGAGCAACGAAGCAGCAGAAGACACAUUUGCCACCCUCCUCCGUAAUUGCACAACUCUUCCUAUUCUCCGGCGACUCCAUGGCCGUCUCCUCCGUCAUUCCCUUCACCUUAAUUCAUCAUUAACUUCCACUGUUAUCACACUCUACGCCAACCUCGCCACCCCACUUCACUCUCUCCGUGUUUUCUCCUCCAGUCUGACAGAAAUUCCAUCUCUUCUCCUUUUCACCACAACCAUCCGUACUAUCUCCAAAACCCAACCUUUUCACGCUCUCCGUCUCUACCGCCAACUUCUCCACCUCCGUCUCUCCCCUGACAAUCAUACCUUCCCCUUUCUCCUAAUCGCCUGCUCCAAACUACCAUCUUUACUCAACGGGUCCGAACUUCACGGGAGAAUUCUGAAAACAGGGUUCUUUAAUUGCUUGCAUGUCAGCAACCCAUUGAUCGACAUGUAUGGCAAAUUCGGAUUACUUGGGUUUGCUCAGAAGGUGUUUUACGACAUGCCCAUAAAGGAUGCUGUCACUUACAACGUGAUUUUGGGUGGUCAUGCAAGAUUGGGAGAGAAGAUGGCUGUUGCGAGAGACCUGUUUGAUGAAAUGCCGGAACGAAGUUUGAUUGCCUGGAACGCCAUGGUUGUUGGGUAUGUGAGAAGUGAUGAUUUGAAGGCGGCAAGAGCGAUGUUUGAUGAGAUGAAUGUAAGGAAUCUGGUGACAUGGAAUACGAUGAUUAUUGGGUAUGUGAAGAAUGGAAUGGUAGAUGAUGCACGAGAGAUGUUCGAUGUUAUGCCUGAUCGGAAUUUGGUAUCUUGGGCAACGAUGAUCUCUGGUUAUGCACAGAGUGGAAAACCAAAUGAGGCGUUGGAGGUUUUCAAUGAAAUGCAAACUCGAAUAACAUCUUCUCCCGAUGCCGCUACUAUGAUCGGCGUCAUCUCGUCAGUGGCUCAAUUAGGUGGCAAUGAACUCGCCGACUGGAUUGAAUCCUACGUCGAUAGAAAUGGUAUCGAAAGAAACCAGAGAAUCCUCACCGGACUUGUCGACAUGCACGCAAAAUGUGGAAACUUAGAAAAAGCUCGCCGUAUUUUCUCCGAUAUCCAUUCCAAAGAUCUCUUAUCUUACACAGCUCUCAUAAUCGGCUUAGCAGCACACGGCCAUGGACACGAAGCACUUGAACUCUUCAGCACCAUGGAAGCAGACGGUAUCACUCCAGACAGAGUCACAUUCAUCGGCGUACUCAAUGCAUGCCGACACACAGGUCUCAUUGACUCUUGUCUGAAACUCUGGGAUAAGAUGGUAAAUCAGUUUGGAAUAACACCUGAUUCCGAUCAUUAUGCCUGUGUCAUCGACAUGCUUGGAAGGUCCGGGAGGGUUGAAGAAGCUUAUCAACUUGUGAAAAAUAUGUCAGCAAUAACCGGUGCCAAACCGCACGUCGGAGCUCUUGGUGCCGUACUUGCAGCGGCGUGUAGAAGUUCUUUGAGUGAGGUUCGCACGGCAGAGGCCGUUGCCCAAGAGUUGUUUGUAUUGGAACCGGAGAAUACUGGAAAUUAUAUUCUCCUUUGGAGCUUGUACGCUUCCAGAGGUGAGUGGACCAAAGCAGAGCUUCUCCGGCGAUCUAUGGAUGUCAAAGGGAUGACCAAGCUUCCUGCUUACAGUUCAAUGUAGUAAAUAAUGUAAUGUUGUAGAUCAGUCCGGUUCAAUCAUAGCAAUAAAAAAGAUCCGUUUAAAUUACAAUUUGUUCACAAGGGAUCCGAAUAUAUGGAUCCGUUUAAAUUCUAUUGAUAUUUUCCCACCUGUUCCGGUAGCUACUGGGGGGUGUUGCUGGCAUUUUUGUCUCUCGAUCGCCGAAGUUUGGGAGCCGCUCAUUUGGCGAUUCCAACGCCGACCAUGUUGAGAUAUCUGCGUCAGAUUUCGGGUAAACCAUUUUACAGACUGUUCAGCAUAUUGACAAAUUCGUUAUUACUGAAAAAGUGAUAAGUUUCUUGUUCUUCUUUCCCUUUUGAUUCUUGAAUUACUAGUUCAUCACCAGUUUGGGAAACACCCAUUGGCUGUUUUCUCUACUGGUCGUUUCUUUGCUGAUUUGGCGGAUGGCAGUAGUCAUUCCGCUGCUCAAAAUGAGACUUACUUGAAGAGGAAUUACGCUGAUAAUGUUUCUGAGUAUAACACUGUUCUUAACUCACUGAUUUCCCAGAGAAGGUAAAGAUUCUGGUUUUUUUCAUUGGGUUGUUAAUUGUUUGUUGCUUGGGCCUUGCAUUACUCCAACUACAGCACUGAAUACUUGUUUGUAAGAUUAGUUAGGGUUCUGGGUUUUGAAUUAUUGCAUUGUUUGUUGGCUGGUUUUAUUAGGUAUUAUUUGCUUAGAGAUGUUUAUGAUGACAUGAUUCUUGAUGGAGUCCAGCCGAUACGAGACACGUUUCACUCCCUUUCUAUUGGGGCCAUGAAGCAAAGUAAACUCCAGGAUGCUUUCUUUUUCCGGGAUGAAAUGAAGACCAUGGGCAUCAGUUCUGAUGUAUUACCUUCUUUUGAUAUUCUCUCUUUGAAGAAUUUUUUUUUAUUGUUAUUCGGCGAUUUUUUUUUGCUUUAAAUCUUAAAGCCAUGGUUUCUGUCUUUGUUUUUAAAAUUAAAUAGUUUCUAUUGCUGUUUAUUCUAUCUGUCUUCACUCUUCAAUGUAGGUUGUUGUCUACAACUACAUGAUCUCAGCAUGUGCGAAAUGCAAGAAUUCUGACAUGGCGGUUAAGGUAAUCCUUUUUUCCAUUCUCCAAAUUAUCCUGGAUUAUUUAUUUUCGAAAAUUUGCUCGCUAGUAUUUUGAUAUUUUAGAUAUUUUUUUGAAUAUCUAAUCUCCAUCUUUUUUAUUCUUUCUUGAAGCUUUUGGAGGAAAUGAAGAAGUGCGGUGUGAAGCCAAAUGGGCAGACCUACAUCUGUCUUUUAAAUGCUUUUGCUUCAACUGGCCGUAUCGAUCGGGUGUAUGCUUUUAAAUUACCAUCUUUUGUACUGACCAUGAUCUUAAGCUUUGACAUUCUUUAUAGAACAUAUAUUUCAAUUUUCAAAACAAUAUAGGUAUGCAAUCGUCCGUGACAUGACAGCAGCUGGUUUAGGAUUAAACAAGUACUGCUAUGCCGGUCUUAUUGCUGCACAUAAGAACAAAGUUCCUCAUACAGACGAUACAUGUAAUAAAGUACGUGGUUCAUUUCAUAAUAUUCGAAUAAAAAAUGAAAAAAAUAUUAUGAUGUGUUUUGAUGAAAUAUUCUAAUAACUUGUAUUUUAUCAAAAGAUUAUAGAUCUUGUCAAGCAAUCCAAGGGAUGGUCGUCUGUUGAAACUUUACCUAACGCUGCGGAAAAUGAUAUGGUGGGUGUUUCCGAGGAAGAACUCUAUAACAUCCCAACAGCAGAUUAUGUCUUUAGAAGAGGGUUUCUGAAUAGAUCACACACAGUUUAUCAUGUUGCUUCUCUAGCCUGUGCUGAUUUACAUAGUGUUGAGGUCCGUGUUUCUCUCUCUCUCUUUUUCAUUUUUUCCAGUUUUUUUUGUAACUAAUGUUUUACAAUAUAUUAAUUCCAGCUCAAUAUUUUAUUGACCUUUCAUAUUUAGACAUUGGAAACAAUUCUUGAGAUGCUCAAACAGGAUGGAACUACUCCUGAUGUAUUUACAGUCAUUCAAACAUUAAGGUAUAAAUGUAUGAUAUUUUCGGGUGGCAUUUCAGGUCUUUGAAUUUGUUGGAUCAUUCAAUACAAAUAUAUCUGUCCAUUUAUAUUUUUUUGUUGCUAUGUAAUAUGUUAAAAAAAAUUCAAGGUUUGUGGUGUGAUUUAGGUGUUACUUGAACUGUGGGGACAUUGACCAUGCUGUCCAAGUCUUUGAGGAUCAUUUGGCUAAUAGGCUGCCUAAUGUAGAACUUUAUAUUGUAAGUAAUUCUGUUAGACUGGUCUCAUUUUUUGAAUAUGUUUCUGGUAAAUAUUUAGAAAAUUAACCUAUUUUAUCUGGCUAUCUCCAGAUAUAAUGUAUUGAUAUAAAAUAUAUAAUAAAUCGCAUGGCCAUCUCGAUAAUGAUAUCAGAAUAAUUCAUGAUUUCAUAGUUAUUUUUAAUAUUAAGAUGCCUUUAAGAUGUGUUGUUUCUUGAAUUGUGCGUAGGCUUUAGCUUAUGGAGCUAUGAAAGGCAAUACUCCUCAUGGAAUGCAAGUUGCUCAGGAUACGUUGGUAAAUUUUUGUAUAAUAUAUAUAGUAUUAGGGAGAAGAAAUUGUUUUGAUUUUUGUAAAUUUUUGUAUAAUAUAUAAGGCCCCCAGAAGUUUUCAGCAGAAAAAUUAUAAAGGAUGUGAGCAUUGCAUAUGAUUCUACAUCCUAUAAGAAGCACAAUCUUUCACAGAUUGAAACACAAGCUAUACGUUCAUGGGAGUCCAACCUCUUGAGGCUUCAGUCCUUGGCCAGUUAGUCAGGGUCAUAGCUGUAUAAGAGAUAGACAAUGUUUUUACAUUUACUGUACUUGCAUUUCCGGAUUUCCCUAUAUUCUGUAAUCUUGGGCUAUGCCCAACCUCUUUUUCAGUAAUGAAAGUUUUAAUUUCUCAAAACAAAAAGAAGAAGAAAAGAAAUGGUUUUGAUUGGAAAAUUACAAUUAAACAGGAGAAAUUCAACUCCAAAGGCUAUUUCUUAAAUAUCUGGCAGGGCAGUGCACUCCUUCUUGCAGCUUCAGGGGAAGAGGUAACUCUAUUUUAUUGUACUCUCUAACUCUUAGAAGUAAGAAUGAUAAAUGCGUUUCGAUUUUAAACACUAAAUUAAAAUUCUUGGUGAAUUUUUAUUUUACUUUGUUUUUGAAAUGUCUGUUCUUUGGUAUAUAGAGUGGUGGAUUUACUACUGCAAAUUAUAUAUGGGAUUUAAUGGCAAGCCGUAGGACCUUCCCAGCUUUUCAUGCAAUGGAAGCUUAUCUCAAGGGUUUAAAGGUAGUUCUAUAGACAUGAAUUAUCAAAAAAAUAUGAUUGUAUAAUCAACUCUUAUUUUUCUAAUUGCACUUCAGAAAAGGGAGAUACCAGCUGAUGAUCCCCGUCUCUUGUUGGUGACCCGAAUGUGUGAUAAUCAUCGAGGUAGAUUCGGAACAGGACCGCCAGUCCAAAUGAUCAAUAAUUCAUUAUGGUAGAUCAUAGUAAGAUCGUUUAAAGUUGAUGCCCUUUACUACAGUCAGAAUCUUAUCAACAACUGCAUGUAGAUUUUACUCUGUUAGUUGAAACAUCGUAAUCUUCAGUAGGUAAAAUCUUAUCAACGAACGGUGUGUCUUUUAAACUUUGUUCUUUCAUUCUUUGUUGGGAUCCUUGUUUUUUGCUCUAACAAGUUACAUGACUAAAUUCCAUAGUCGACCGAUGUUUAAUUAUUUAUCUGUGUUUGGCGAUUGGUUAUUAUUUGAUUCAGUCCAAACACUGGUGAAACAACCUGAUUAUUUGAUUCAUUUUUCUAGCAAAUCCACUGUAAAUUUUUUUUAGGGUAGGUACAAAAACUGUUGCACAUUGAUAUUGUGUUAUUCCACAUUCAUGAUAAGUUUGUUCAUGUAUGUUCUUAUGUUUCCAAAUCCUCAUCAUCAUUUUAGCAAUCCAGCAUUUUAUAUGUUGAGUUGAUAAAUGAAAACAUCAAUGCUAUGGCUGGUUUAAAUUAUUAUAUACAUUUUUUUCUUUUUAUAUCUAUUCUGGGGUCUCUCAGUUUCACUGAGAGGCAAUUGGGGUUUGGGCAGUUGUGUUUUUCAUUAAUUGAUAUUUUUGUCUGUUUUAUACAACUUGGAUAUCUUCAUGUUUGUCAUUUUCAGUCCUUUUAAUUCUUUUAAGUAAGUAUUUCCAGUUUCCCACAUUUGGAGAUUACAACCAUAAAUUGCCCCCUUAAACCCUAAUUAUGGAGAGAGUUUGUGCCUUUUUUCUGGGUUUUUUAAUUCUGUAAAAUUUGGGCAGUUGGGGUUUGGGCAGUUGUGUUUUUCAUUAAUUGAUAUCUUUCUAUUUUAUACAACUUGGAUAGUUGGAUACCUUCAUGUUUGUGUCAUUUUCAGCCCUUUUAAUUCUUUCAAUCAAGUAUUCCCAGUUUCAACCCUAAAAUGCUACCUUAAACCCUAAUUAGGGGGAGUUUUUAAAUGCUGUGAAAUUUCUAAUCCUUUGAUAAAAUGUUUUAAUGACCAUAAUAUACAAAGAAUUUUUUUUCAACCGUCGAUUACUGUUUUAACGACCAUGAUUUAUAAUAAUGAGUUGGUUGUUACAACUUACAACGAUAGCGAUUGAAAGGAUAUAUAAAUAUAUUAUUUUAUUAUUUUAUUAAUUAUUAAUUUAUUAUCUAGUAUUGAAUUAUUGAUUUAUAAUAUAAUUUAAAAAUAUGACGUCAUGAUAUGACGUAAUCAUCUUUCUUACUCGUUCCUGGGAACGAAACGGACCUGCAUGCCAUGCUUCAUGUACAGAGUUGUGGUGAGCUUUGGGCAGAUUUCCUGACCGUCGACCGGACGAACGGAGUACCUUAAGAUGAUGGCGGAGGCGACCAUCUUCAUCUGCAAAUACGCGAAGUUCUUACCGACGCAAAGUCUUGGACCGGCAUUGAAAACGGUGUACUUGAAGUGACUCUCGCCGGAGAAUUUACCUCCAUUCUUCAACCAACGUUCUGGUACGAACUCAGUGCAGUCUUUGCCCCAGAUCUCCUCCAUCCUACCCAUGGAGUAAAUAGAGUACAUCACUCUUCCACCUUUCCGUACCGGAGAUCCAUCGGGAAGCACAUCGUCGGCGAGAACUUCCUUGAAGUCGAUUGGCACUGAUGGGUAUAAUCUCAGCCCCUCCGACAACGCCGCCUGAAUAUUAUUUCAUCAGUUUAUAAUUCAUCGUUAUUGAUGAUUUGAUGAUGAGAUAUAUCAUUGAUAUGAUCGAUAUACCUGGAGAUAAUUCAUCUUCUUCAGCUCCUCGAUGGAGAAGACGACUUCGUCGUCGGGAAUUUGGAUGUCACGGAGGUUGAUUAUGUCAUGGAGCUCUUCGAGUAUGUUGGAUUCAACUCUAGGGUUCUGUUCAAGAAGCCAGAAGAACCACGUCAGCGCAACGGAGCUGGUGUCACGGCCGGCGAGGAUGAAGCUGAUGCAGAAAUCCUUGAUGAACUUCUCCGAGAAUCGUAGGUUUCCGGCACUGGUUCUCUGUUCUUCUUCAACGAGACGAGACAGAAGAUCGAAUUUUUCAUUGGAUCCUCUUGAUUCAUUCAGUUCAGUUCUCCGAUCACUCACGGUCUUAUCGACGAACUCAUGUACCUGUUCGAUUGCAGAACGGAGUUUCUUCUCCGUUCCGACGUUCAGUGCUUUCAAGAUUCUCCAGACAAACGGUGGCACGAUGAAUCGGAACAGAGUCAGCUCCGUCGCAUCCUCGAACGCCUUCGCAAACGGUACCACCGGUAAUACCUCAUUUUGAUUUACAGUCAAACAACCAGUGUCCACCCCAAACGCGGCGGCGGAGAUAUUAUCAAAAGUGAACCGGAGGAAAACAUCUUGCAGAUCGAUAGAGUCAGGUACCAUCUUUAGUAAUUUAAGAAGCUUACCGUGAACUAACUCCGUCAUCGUCCUCGCCGAGAAAGCCACGAAUCUCGACGAGUGCAUCUCGAAGCUCGCCGUUUUCCUCUGCUCCUUCCAACUUUCAUCGUCGGCGUUGAAUAUUCCGUCUCCGAGGAAAUCAAUGAAUCUCUCCCGAAAAUACCUUCCCUUGGGGAAAUUGGCGAAGUUGGUCUUCAGCAUAUACUCCACAUUGGCCGGAUCGGAAGUCACCACACCAUGAGCACCGCAGAAACUUGCACCGUGGUAAGGAAAAGUACCACCACAUCGCCGGAGAACCUCCGUUACCCAAUCAUAAAUAUGAUCAAGGUUGAUAUACAGAGUCGGUAAGAUCCCCAACACUGGCCAUAGCAUUGCUCCUCUAUUUCUCGCCGCCAGUUUUCUCUGUUUUAUGACACUCAUUAUAAGAAUUGCCACAACCGCCAUUACCACAUCCAUAGCUUUUAACUCUGAUACCAUGCUAUACAACUUCAUCUUCAUACCAUGCAUAUUCUAAUAGCCUGUGAUGUGGUCAUAUUUAUAUGCUCUGAAUGACAACUUAGAUAUAAAUCAUUAGUUGUAACUAUUAAAAUUCUUAAACGUAAAUGGUUCGGAUCAAGCUGUCUACUUUGAUUAAAUUUUAAUUAUACGAUUUCUAAAAGUAAAUGAUUCGAAUCUCGCUUUGUACUUUGAUUAAAUUUUAAUUAUGAAUACAGUAAGAUUAACGUAAAUACGCAACUGGUCACAGUAACUAUUACGAUUUCUGAGGGUAAAUGAUGUGAAUCUCGCUGUGUACUUUGAUUAAAUUUUAAUAAUGAAUACAGUGAGAUUAACGCAAAAAAUACGCAACUGGUCACAGUAACUAUUACGAUUUCUGAGGGUAAAUGGUGUGAAUCUUGCUGUGUACUUUGAUAAAUUUUAAUAAUAAAUACAGUGAGAUUAACGCAAAAAAUACGCAAUUUCUGAGGGUAAAUGAUGUAAAUUUUAAAUAUGAAAACAGUGAGAUUAACGUAAAUACGUAACUGGUGACAAUAACUAUUAAGAUUUCUGAGGCUAAAUGAUGUGAAUCUGAUGUGUACUUUGAUUAAAUUUUAAUUAUGAAAACAGUGAGAUUAAUGUAAAUACACAACUGGUUACAAUAGGGUAAAUGAUGUGAAUCUCGCUGUAUACUUUGAUUAAAUUUUAAUUAUAAAUACAGUUAGAUUAACGCAAAAAAUACGCAACUGAUCAUAGUAACUAUUAAGAUUUCUGAGGGUAAAUGAUGUAAAUUUUGCUGCGUACUUUGAUUAAAUUUUAAUUAUGAAUACAGUGAGAUUAACGCAAAAAAUACGCAAAUGGUCAUAAUUAAUAACUAUUAAGAUUUCUGAAGGUUCAUGGUCUGUGUUUCGUUAUGUUUAAAUUUUCAUGUUACCAGUGAUAUAUUAUGUUUCUCUGAUUUAAUUAUCACCAAAAGAUAGACAUUUUUAUAUUAUGCAGAGAGAUUCUCUACGUUAUAAAAAAAAUUACUACGAUUUAACUGAUAAUAUAUUAUAUGACUCUGGUAUAUCCAUUAAAGGUGGAUAUUUUUUACAGACUAUCUAUGUUACAUCUUGGCCAUCCAUCGGACGAGAUAAAUACAGUUACAAAAGUUGAAUUCUUACCUAGAUCGCUUUCAAUGAAAAACAACAACCAUUCUAAGAUAUUGGGUUUAAUUUGUUGGGGAAUAAACAAUUUUAAUUUUGUUAGUUGUUAGGUUUCCCUCUUUGGGAAGGGGUUAUGCAUGGUACACCAACAAUAAUCAAUGCAUUUUAAACUAAUUAUAUGAAGAAAUUAUCUUUAAAGGGUCAACUGGUCUCUUUCAAUGUACAGAAACUUUUUUGGAGUGUUUGACCAGGGUAGAUGCAACAACUAACCAUUGAGAAUUAAUAAGUGUUAUGUACAGUCCUAUCAGACGUGAACAAGAUUAGACGAAUUAUCACUGAAGAAUUAGGCUUGGACAAAGAGAUCAUUGGAGCGGACGUUGACAUUGACCAUAUCGGCGUACAAGUGGAGUACGUCCACCAGUCCAGGGAAGAGACCCAUAGUCCAAAGUAGUUGAAUGGUUAUUUAUAUAUAAUGUUGUAAUAAACUCAACCGGUAAAUAAAGUAUCAUGGAUGGAAGGUAGGUAUUGUGAAUUUGAACAACUAAUUCUUCUUAAAAUCCCAAGCUCCUUAGGAAGAUUAUCCUUCUGAUCACCCCUCAACUUCUUUUUCUUUCACUCGAGUGCAAAUAGCUGAUCAGUCUUUCAAAGGAAGACUGUUACAGGAAGCUAACCGAAUAUAUCAGACGUAAUUGAUUUUCUUAAUGCGACGACAUUAAAUCCCAGUAUCUUUAUCUCCUAUAUACCCAGACGUAUAAUUCUACACGACUAGGGCAAAAAAGAAAUCUUCUUUUAUGUCUGGCGUAGUUAAAUCGUAGUAAAAAUCUAAUAAAAUACGACUCAUGUUCGUGGAUAUAUUCUCAGAAACUUUAAUAGUUAUUGUGAACAGUUAAGUUGAUCUUUUUGUUCAUAUAUAAGUUUGGAUUAGGUCUUUGAUAAAUUUGGAUCAGUUGGUAGAGGUAUAUUUAUGAUCUAACUGUUUUUAUCGGUAAGCACCAAAUCAUGUAAGAGAACAAUAAAUGUUUUGAAUUUUGAUACCAAAUUGUCAAAACAAAUGAUAAAUGUCAAUGUCAAUUGUCAAACUAAUUUAAAUUUCAUAUCCAAAUGGAACUAAAUCUAGACCUAUUUCUGAUUUCAAAUAAAAUAUAGUAUACAAGUGUAGUGUUUGUGUGAUCCAAGUUUGACUAUUAGAGUUUGAUUGUUAAAAUGUUUGUCUUUCUACUAAAUUAAUAAAAGUAUGAAGACUUGGUUUUGAUUUAAUUUAUUCAAAUUAUGGUUAACAGUGUGAUUAAUUCAACUGUUCACGGUAAUAUAUCAAACGCAAUUGAUUUUCUUAAUGCAACGACAUUCAAUUCCAGUAUCCCUAUCUCCUAUAUAUCCAGACGCGUCGAUCUACACGACUAGGGCAAAAGAGAAAUCUCCUUUUCUGCCUGACCCAGUUAAAUCGUAGUAAAAAUCUAAUAAAAUAUGACUCACUCAUGGAUUCUGAGAAAUUUUAAUAGUUAUUGUGAACAGUUAAGUUAAUCUUUUUGUUCGAUCAUAUAUAAGUUUGGAUUAGGUCUCUGAUAAAUUUGGAUCAGUUGAUAGAGUUAUAUUUAUGAUCUAUCUGUUUUUAUCUGUAAAUACCAAAAGAUGCAAGAGAGAUAACACUUGUGCAAUAAAUGUUUUAAAUUUUGAUACCAACUUGGCAAAAUAAAUGAUAAAUGUCAAUGUCAAUUGUCAAACUAAUUUAAAUAUCAUAUCCAAAUAAAACUAAAUCAAUUACAAAGUAAGAUUAACUCACUAGUAUGAGAAACUAUUAAGGUUUCUGAGACUCAAUGUUCGAAUCUUAGUUUGUAUAUUUUCAUUUAGAUUUAUCCGAUGAUAUAUUAUAUAGUUCUGAUAUAUCAUCCGAAAACUGACAACUUUACAUUUAUAAAGAGAUACCAUGCGUUAUCCAAAAAAAAGUGAUUCAAGUUUGACUAUUAGAGUUUGUUUCAGUUCAGUUCAUUUGUGACUUGUUAAACUGUUUUUCUUUCUACUAAAUUAUUAAAAGUAUGAAGACUUGGUUUUGACUUAAUUGAUUCAAAUCAUUUGUUUACUAUUAUGGUUAACUGUGCGAUUAGUUCAACUGUUUACAUUAUUAAAGUUUCUAAUAAUCCAAGGUAAGAAAUAAGAUAUCAUAUAUAAGAUAUCUUGUGAGAUAUUCUCGCUGUGUACGUAAUUUUCAUUUAAUUUUCACUACGAUAUAACCGAUGAUAUAUUACGUGACUCGGGACAAGGGAUGGCAAUUGUCUCCCUAAAAGUUAUAAAAAUCGAGGACCUAUAUGUAAUAUUUUUUUUAUAAGGGGUUAAAUGUAUUUUUCACAAUAUAUUAAUAUUUUAUAAGGGUUAAUAUAUAAAUUUCACAAUAUUUUUCUCUCUCCCUUUAAAUCUUCUCCCCCUCUUCUCCCCCGUUUUCCCCCAAAUCCCUAAUCUUCUCCGCCCUCCGGGAAUCUCUUCUUAGAUUCUUCACUGUUGUUGCUGCCUUGCUGGAAAUCUCUUCUCCAGUUCUCCCUCCGUUGCUACUUGCUGGAUUCUCUCAUUUCUCUGGUAUUUAUUUGUUGAAUUGUUGAUCUUGUUUGUUGUUUUUACAUAUUAUUUGGGUCUGAUGGAUAUGAUACGAUGGUGAUGGUCUGAUGGAUUUUAUUGAUGUUUGAUUUAGUUAGUUGAUUAGUCCUCAUAUGAAGUUAGGUUCUCCGGUCUGAAUAUGAAGUUAGAACUCACAUGUUAAUGUUCUGUUUUUGAAAAAAAAAAGCACAUUAAGAGAUUUUCUUUUCUUUUCAUCUUCCCAUAUAUAUUCAAGUUUGGGAAUGUUGAAAAUUGACGGCGGUAUUGUUCCUGAUAGAGUGUUGAAACUCAAAUCCCUAAAAAAUUUCCAAGGAUGUGAAUUUAAUGAUUUUAUAUUUAUGAAAUGUGUUGUUAAAUAAAUGGAGAGUAUAAAAAAUAUAAAAUUUACAGAUAUGACAAAUUUUCAAAUUCUCCAAUGCUGGAUCCUGGAUGGAAUCGUACCAACUAUUCUAGUGUUUCUUAAAAUCCUAUUAUCAUUCAAACACAGCUAAAAUAUAAGUAUUAUGUAAAUCAAAAAAAUAUAGAUAGAUAGAUCAUAUAUAGAUGAAUCUUUCUUAAUGGUUUAGGGUUAAUAUAUUGAAUAAUGAAUAUUCCUAAAUCAAUUUGAAUAUUAAUUAAUGUAUUGAUUAUUAAUUAUGGAAUGAAUGUAUUGAGUUUUUAUAGGUUUUUAUAAUCUAUUUUAUAAAUAGGUCAUGCCAAAAAAUUUAUAGGUUUUUAAAUUAGUACAAAAAAAAUUAGAGAAGAGUUAUAGUGUUCUUUUUGUUAUAUUUCCAGGCAUUAGAAUUAUUGUAUUUCAAGUGUGUAAAUCGAGUUCGGAUUCGAGUUUGGUUUUUUCAAGUUUACUGAGUUGGAGUUUAUUAGUAUGAAAUCGCGAACUUAGAAAUAGACAGGCUUUUGGUAAAAUCACUAAAAUAGUUAUCAUUGAUUAUAGUGUAAUAGAAAUAACAGAAUCAGUUAUCUCUAAACUUGCAUCAAUAUGCUAUUAGGACAGUAAAGAGAGGCAUGUCUUCUUGAUACCCUCACCUAAUUUUCUAAAUCGUCUGUUAAAGUUCAAUGUUUCGAAUUGAGUUAAUGUGUUGAUUGUUAAGUACGAGUAUUUCCAGUAAAACUCGAUCCAAUUCAACUCCUCUGCACCCUUUAAUAAAAACUGAUUGGGAUGAGCUUAUGAUUUUUUCUUCCAACUAAAAUUCAGGAAAGAUGAGAUGUUGGUGGAUCUUGCUAGAGUAGACAAAAGAAGGUAAAAUCUUUCCUUGUCUGCUAAAUGCUCAUGUUGGAUCAAGUGAUGCUGUGUAUAUGAAUAGUUUGAGAAAAAGGGAGUCUUGAGCAAGUGAUAUGAAUUCUAAAGUAAUUAGGGAUUUUAUUUGAUGAUGAAGCGUGUUAGAUCAUUUAUUCAUCCCCAAAAACGAUCUUUUAUUUAUUUAUACACGUAUUUGGAUUUUUUUUUAUUUCACGAUUUUAAUUUCUUUAAUUUUUAUAUAUACAGUGAUUAAAGUGCGUACACCGAAAUACAAGAAAUUGGCAAUGAUUUACACUGCUAUUGACACGUUCUACCUCACUGACGAGCAGCUGAGCAAUUCUCCUUCCAGAAAAGAUGGAAUUGAUGAGUCAACUGAGACAAAUCUCCGGAUAUAUGGCUGCGAUCUUAUUCAGGAGAGUGGAAUCUUGCUUAGAUUGUAUCCUUUACGACAUGUCAUGAUUUAUUAAACUUCAGUCAGUUCAGUAUUUAUACUGAGAAUUUUUUUAUAUCUUUCCUGGUUUAUGUUAUCAUAUGUUUCCCUUAAUUCCAAUAGGCCUCAAGCGGUGAUGGCCACUGGCCAAGUGCUUUUCCACAGGUUCUAUUGCAAGAAGUCUUUUGCUCGCUUUGGUGUUAAGGUAUUGAGACAUUAUAAAUUUAUAACCCACACGAUCAUUUUAUUUGUGACAUUGAGGGAAGACAACCAUAUGGAAUGUUUCAAUAUGUUAAAAAAUAUAUGUCAUGUAUUCAGACUUCUGAAUAUUUUGAAUUGUGAUUACUUGCAAAUUGCCAACUGGCACAGUCAUUCAGGGAUGCUGAUCGCUGAAUAAAUUUAAAUUAAUGCUGCAAUUUUGCAUUGAUUUUUUUUAUUAAGAAUGUUUGGUAUGUUUAAAAGUGCUGCAAUGUGUUUUAUUUCAUAAUUUAAUUUAAUUUAAUUUUUUUAAUUUAUUUAUUCUGCAUACAAUUGUUUUUCCUUGUAGAGAGUUGCUGCAAGUUGUAUCUGGCUAGCUUCAAAGCUAGAAGAAAGUCCUAGAAAAAUGAAGCAUAUUAUCUUAGUUUUUCAUAGAAUGGAAUGCAGGAGGGAAAAUUUGUCGGUGGAGCAUUUCAACCUUUUUUCAAAGGUUAGUCUUUGUAAGCACUAAGCAGGCAUAUUCAUAUGGUAUUGAUGUAUUGCACAUUACAUUUAUGUUAUCUCUGUAAUUUUGGGUCAAGAUAUUUGAUUAGAUUGUUUGGAAUGUUUUCUGCAAUGUUCUUUUCUAUGGUUUUAAAUUUUGAUACACGUGGUGAUAAUUUUACCGUUAAUUUUAAAUAUAAAGUAAAUUCUAAUUUUGUAAAUUACCAACUGCACUAUUUUACUGCACUAUGGUUUUUUUACUUGUAUGAUCAAUCAUGACAUUAUCUGAAUUGUUAUCAGUUAUUACUUAUUCUGUUAUUAAUUGCUUUAAACAUUUAAUAUUUUUAUUUUUUUGUCUUUUUUAUGUACUCUUCUACAAAAACUAAUGAUCUCAGACUCUCUGUUAAUUAUUAAAAAAAAAAAUUUAAUAUCUUAGUAAAUGUGUUUGUUUUUUAUAUAGAGGUACUCAGAGCUGAAGGGUCAUCUCAUCAGAAAUGAACGACAUUUGCUUAAAGAAAUGGCAUUUGUCUGCCAUGUUGAACAUCCUCAUAAAUUUAUAUCAAACUACCUUGCUGCACUUGAGGCCCCUCAUGAGUUGAAGCAAGAAGCCUGGAAUCUAGCAAAUGAUAGGUAUUGCUUUAUAUUUUAUUUGUCUUUUUUCAUUUAUAAUUUGUUUACCAUUCUAUCCAUUUAUUUCUUCAAAUCUUUUGGAAAUCUUUUUUACAGAAUCUCUUUUCACAAUUAUAUCUAAUAUAUAUUUUUUGUGCAUUUUAAAUUUCCUUAUGUCUACACCACACAAUUUUUUUUUUAAUGCUACUGCAUCUUUUGGAAAGCAUACUCAAAAUAUGAUUAAGCAUAAUGCAUAAGUGCUUGGGGGUGUCUAACUUCUUGAGGCAAUAAUACUCAGCUAUUUGGCUUGUUAAGAAGCCAUAUAAGAAAUUGAUGACGAGGUUGCUCAUCUCCCCUUGUUUUUGUAAUUUAUUUUGCUUUGCCGACUUCAAUUAAUAAUGGAAUUUUAUUUCUAAUUCUCUAUACAAAAUGUUAUUAGUUGUAAACAUAAAAUGUUUUUAUAAUUUUACAGCACAAGUCUUAAUCAUAGUAUAUUAGGAUAAUGCUGUUUCUUUCAAAAUUUCACACAACAAAUCAUUUAUAAUUUGUAUUGAAUUUUAUGAGUUUAUCUGACUUUGUAAUCAUUUCUUUCAAUUUUACAUUCUCACUUUCUCAGUCUCCCUUUUCAGCGAUUUAAUUUUCGAUAACCCUUGUUUAAUCAGUUGCAGUGAUUUAUUAUGUAGAACUCAUGCUCUUGUUUAUUACUUCAUUUUAUAUCUGAAUGUUUUUGUUUAGUUUUGAGUUAAUCCUACAAACCCUAGUUGUCAUACACAAACAAACAAGUGCACCACCAUGUGAGAUACACACACAUACUUCUAUAUGUUCUCAUUCAUAAUUUUAAUUCGGUACAUUUCCCUCUCUCUAAUUAUUUUGUACAGUUUACGCACAACAUUAUGUGUUCGAUUUAAGAGUAAAGCUGUGGCAUGCGGAGUUGUGUACGCCGCCGCUCACAGGUUUCAGGUCCCCCUUCCAGAGAAUCCACCAUGGUGGUUGGCAUUUGAUGCAGAUAAAUCUGAAAUUGACGAAGUUUGCAGAGUUCUUGCUCACCUAUACACUCUUCCAAAGGCUCAAUAUAUACCUGUCUUUAAAGAUAAUGAUUCAUUUAUGAUGACGAAGAAGGUAACAGAUUCACAUCAUGAACUUGUUAGGUAAAAGAUAUUCAUAUUUCUGACUUUUAUUUGAAAAAAAUGGUAAUCGACGUAUAAACAGUUUUUUUCCCUUUAUCAUAGGAAGUUCCUUUAGACGACAUGACCAAUAACGGAGAGGAUCUGAAACCCAAAGAUGAUGUUUCUAUGAAAGUCAUUGAUAAAGUGAAGGAUCCAAAAAAUGAGAAUGACGAUGAUAGCAAAAACACAUCAGAUAUGAGAAACAAAGAAAAAACAACAAUAAAAACUAAGGGCGGUGCAACCGCAACAGAUAUAAAUGCAGAAAGGAAUAAGGAAAGAGAGUCGAGAGACCGAGAGAGAUCAAAGGGUAGAGACCGUGAUAGGAAGAGGGAAUUUGAUGGUGGUAGAGAUAGAGGUAGAGACAGAGACAGAGAAAGGGAGACAGAUAGGAGCAGGGAAAGGCUGAAAGUUCGAAGUCAUCAUCAUUCUAUGGAGGAGAAGGAAUCAGGUAUUUAUUCACUAGCUAUACGUACUACCGACUUGGUGAUCUGACCUUUUAUACCUUAUUUAUUUAUUUAUUUAUUUAUUUAUUUUUGCAGGGCACUCAGACGAGUCGAAAUACUAUCACUCCUCACGCGGUAAGCUGAUAAAUUUAUCUAUGUGAUUCUUUUAAAACCCAAAUUUAAAACUGUGGUUUCUGAUGUUAUAAUUUACGUCUCAUUAUCAGAUCGAGUCGAUUACCACAGUUCACAUUCAUCGAGAGAGAAAGACCGUCAUAGUAGUAGGCAUCAUCCUUACCUUUAAAGACUGCAGUGUUCUCAUGUUGGAGUUAAAAAUGAUGGGUUCGACGAAAUGGGGCUCAAACUUGUGAUUUUUGAAUGCUCAUGUUUUUUUCAGAUGUUCAGUGAAUAUUUGAUUUUUUAUAUUAUGUUUUCUCCCCAUUUAUUUUUAUCUUUUGAUCUACAAUCUUUACACUGAAUAUUAUAUCAUCUUGGAAUAGUACGAAAGAACCUCUUCUAAUUUGUAAGUGAUGAACCAAACCUCCUCUCCCUGGUCCCUGGAGAUGGGCUAUGCUCAAAAAGAUUUCAAGUAUAAUUGCAAUGUACUGAAUUUACAAGAGUUCUGUCUAUUGUAUAGCAAUUAGGAAUGUGACCAUGAGUUCCACAACUCAUAAGCUCUCGAUUAAGUGCUCGAUAAGCAUGGUUUGAAACUUGGGUUUGAAAAUAAUAAUAACUUGAGAAAUUCAGGUAAAAUCUUAUUAUUUGAGAAUUAGUAAGAACUUGUAUAUUUGAUCUUUCAAUCUUUAAUAUUAAAUAUGACAGUGUUUAGUGAUUAAUGAUGUAUGUAGGGAAAAAAUUGAAGUGGUGAGUUUUAUAAAGGGUUAUAAUUAAAGUUCUUACUAGUUUAUCGAAUCGCAAAAUCGAUUAUCCGGAAAUUGAAAUCGAUGAAAAUGAGGAAAUUGAAUUUGCGAAAAAUGAAAUAAUAAAAAUUAGGUUUCUGCUUUAAAUUUCCAUUUGCAAUUUGUCGAUUAUCGUUUUCUUCCACUCUGAUUUGUAGUUCUUCUACUGUGACGGGAGGAAGAUCCGGACAAGGUGGACGUGCUUCGUCGUUGAGUGUGUUGAUUUGUCAUUUCGUCGAUGAGGUACAAAAAACUCAUUGAUUCUCAUAUAAGUCUCUAAAAUGUGACGACAAUUUUUUUUUAUAACAUUUCAGAUUAAAAAACGACUGAUGUCUUUAAUAAUCUUUUUAAAAAUUAUCUUAUGAAGUCUAUUAACGUGUUGUUUGUAUCUUUUAUAACGAGUAGGUUUUAAGUUUUAACCCAUCAAAUUUGCAGGUCUUGCUUAUUUAAUCUCUCUUGUGUAAAAAAUUAGCAAAUAAUUUAAGUUGUGGUUUUAUUUACCAAAUUCUAAAAACUAAUAAGGGUGUAGAUGAAAGUUUCACAAAUAUAAUACCAGGUAAUUUUACAGAUUUAGGGUUUUUGCGGAUCCUACCUCUCAUCUAAAUGCCCGCUAACCGUUGCUGGGAACGACUACCGCCGCUGACCGACCGACCUUCUACAGUUGGUGAGGCUUCUCUAUUUUCGAUUCUUUCACUGGAUUACAUAUGUUGUUCGAUUUGUGUUCGAUCUGGUGAUAUCAGCUUCGAUUGUUUAUGUUUAUGAACUACGAUUCUUGUUAAGUAGCUUUUUAUCGUUUUAGUGACUGGAGUAAACACGGUUUUAUCUUAACAUCAAGAACCACUACCAAUGUAUAUACAAGUUCAGAUGCAUCGCAUUCUCCUGUUUAAAUUGUAAAUUGGAUUUAAUUUGAUGCUUACUGUUUGAGUAAAAUUCUGUUUUUCUAAUUCAAAGAUUAUCAAGAACCUCUACUAAUGUAUAUACAAGUUCAGAUGCAUCGCAUUCUUCCGUUUAAAUUGUUAAUUGGUUGGAAUUUGAUGCUUACUGUUUGAAUAAAAUACUGUUUUUCCAAUUCAAAGGUUUUUAAAUUGUGGUAUCAAGAACUUCUACUGAUGUAUAUACAAGUUCAGAUGCAUCGCAUUCUCCUGUUUAAAUUGUAAAUUGGGUGGAAUUUAAUGCUUACUGUUCGGAUAAAAUACUGUUUUUCUAAUUCAAAAGUUUUUAAACUGUGGUAUCAAGAACCUCUACUAAUGUAUAUACAAGUUCAGAUGCAUCGCAUUCUUCUGUUUAAAUUAUAAAUUGGGUUUAAUUUGAUGCUUACUGUUUGUCUAAAAUACUGUUUUUCUAAUUCAGAGAUUAUCAAGAACCUCUACUAAUUUGUAUACAAGUUCAGAUGCAUCGCAUGUUUCUGUUUAAAUUGUAAAUUGGGUGGAAUUUGAUGCUUACUAUUUGAAUAAAAUACUGUUUUUCCAAUUCAAAGGUUUUUAAACUGGUAUCAAGGACCUCUACUAAUGUAUAUACAAGUUCAGAUGCAUCCCAUUCUCCUGUUUAAAUUGUAAAUUGGGUGGAAUUUGAUGCUUACUGUUUGAAUAAAAUACAGUUUUUCUAAUUCAAAGGUUUUUAAACUGUGGUAUCAAGAACCUCUACUAAUGUAUAUACAAGUUCAGAUGCAUCGCAUUCUUCUGUUUAAAUUGUAAAUUGGGCUUUUAAUUUGAUGCUUACUGUUUGAGUAAAAUACUGUUUUUCUAAUUCAAAGAUUUUAAAACUGAUGUAUUUAGGGGCAUCUUCUAUUCUGCUUGUUUGUGUUGUUGUCAUUUCGUUUUUGGUUCAAUCUAUAUUUUAUCUAGGUUUUUUCUUUCUCAAAUGAAUCGUCUCUUGUUUGAUACACUUGAUUUGAAAUUGAAAUUGAAUUUUACUCUUGCUCAUUGUUUUCAUUAUGAUUUGAAAAAUUCAAUAAUCAAUAUUGCUCUAAUGUUCUUCCAACCAUCAUCUUAGUAAUUAGUUUAUUGUGUUUGAUGUUGUUCAGUAGUUCUAUUAGUUAUCAAUGUUUUUUGAACUGUUCUUAAACAUCUUACCUCUCAGGUUCUUUCAAAAGUAUGAUUAUUAUGCUCGCCAAACUAACAUUUUCUUUGUUUUAAAAAAAGAUACUAUUGUCGAAUUUUUAGUUGAUGGUCAUUGUUGGAUUUGAAUUACAGGUGGAAAUUCAAUCGUCCAGAUUCAAUAUUCACUGCUGUGAUUCCGAAGGAGAGAGUGGGCAGUCAUCAUGGGAAGGUUUGCACAUUUUUACAAGGCUCUCAAGUUCAAAACUUGCCGGACUCUACUUUCAAAUGUUUGGAAUAAAGAAUUAACUCUCAUACAACGUCGUAUUCUCGGUACGUUGAGGAAUGAGAAACGUGUUGACACUCAGGUCUCCCGCAAGCAAAACUCAAUUCCUUACAUUAAAUUACAGACAGCACGGAAAUUGAACCUAUUUUAUCGAAACAUGCGCUCGACAGAGUGGAAGAAAGGAAGAUCACAAAGAUAUAUCCCAUUUCUACUCCAUUUAGAAACGAGACUAGAUGUUCUUCUGGUUCGUAUACACUUCUGUGAAAAUCUGGUUCAGGCAAGACAACUGAUAAGCCAUGGAAAGGUUUGUGUGAAUCAUGCCGUCACAAACAAGAUCCAUUGGAAAGUGUCGCCUGGUUCUAUUAUUUCCUGGAAAGAAGAUGCAGGAAUAACCCGACAAACUGAGGUCAGCCAUUGUAAAUAAAUGAUCCUUUUCUCUGCUUUCUGGAAUAACAUGCUUGAUUCAUGUAGCUCAAUGUGAAGACGCUUACUGGCAAGACCAUCACAGUCGAAGCCAAUUCCUCGGAUUCCGUCAAUGAUGUGAAAGAAAAAAUAGCAGCAAAAGAAGGCAUUCCUACCAACUUGCAGCAACUUGUCUAUGCUGGCCGCCGACUAGAUGAUGGUCAAGUUAUGGCGAGUUAUGCCUUUGAAAAAGGUCCCGGCCUCCACUUGGUUCUCUCUUAGUGCCGAAUUACUUGCUUGAACAAGAUUAAAAAAAAAUCUUAUCAACCAAUGCACUGCUUGGAUUUGUAUUGUCUCAACUUAGCAUAAUUUUGCUUCAUGAAUAAUUGAAUAUUUUUAACAGAUAUUUCAAACAUGAUUCCCAUCCAGGACCAUUUGUUUUUAUCCCAAUCCAGAUCUGGGCUUAUCAUGGGCCUAUUGACCCAUUUGAUCCAUAUACAAUUAAAUACCCAAUAACAUUGAAUUUAUUUUUUUUCCUUAUAUACUAUUAAGAUAUAUUUUUGGAUAUCAAUAAAAUUUUCAUAAAUAGGCAUGAUUAAGGUGAUUUGAUGAUAUAUUUGAUAUUUAAUAUUAAUUAAAAUUCAAUAUUCAUUUUUUAUAUUUUAUAUUUUAUAUUUUCUUAAACAUUGCUAAAAAUCCUAUUUAAAUCAAAAUUCCAUCCCUUCUUUUUUUUCAUUUUUUUUUGUGUUCCAAAAAUCCAAAAUGAAUAUUCCAUUGAUCACAAUUUUGAUAAUCCUUUCAUUAUCUUACAGUAGUAGUGUUUCAGAAGCCCUCAAUGUGGUAGAUUUUGGCGCGAAAGCCGGCGGCUCAAGGGACUCUACAGAUGCAUUUCUCAAAACAUGGAACGCCGCUUGCGCGUCGACGCAACCGACCAGCAUUGUCGUCCCCGGCGGUGAAUUCCUUAUAGGUGAGAUUCUUUUCGCCGGACCUUGUCGGAAUAAGAAUAUUCAGUUUCAAAUCGAAGGCUCCAUCGUCGCGCCAAUGGAUGAUAGUAGCUUCUUGAAUGCCAAUGCUUGGAUCACAUUUGAAUCGGUCGAUGGAUUGGAUAUUAACGGCGGAAUCAUCAACGGCAGAGGUAAUUCCAUUUGGGCUUGCAAGAAUGCUAAUCAUAACUCCAACAAUUGCCAACAAGGACCUAGGGUAAGCAACAAUUUUUUCAAAAAAAAUCAUAAAUCCUUUAAACCCUAAUUAUAAACCCUAAAAACCUUAUUUUUUUGUAUGUGUUGUUAUCUUAUAUUGCAGAAUCUUUUAUUUUUCAAAGGAAACAAUAUCAAUAUCAAGGGAUUAACUACCAUUGAUAGCAAUCAAUUCCAUAUCGUGAUUGAUUCUUGCACCAAUGUAAAUGUGGCCGGAGUUCAUGUCAUUGCACCGGAGACAAGUCCAAACACCGACGGAAUUCAUGUUGGUAAGAGUACCACCGUCAACAUUACAGAUUGUAAUAUAAAGACCGGCGAUGAUUGCAUAUCGAUCGGUCCCGGAACUUCAGGUCUAUUCGUCGGUAACUGUAACUGUGGUCCGGGGCAUGGGAUCAGUAUCGGAAGUCUUGGAAGUGGUGAAGAUGAUGAAAAAAAUGAUGUUGUAGAAAACAUCAGGGUUGAAGGAGCUGUUUUCACCGGAACUCAAAAUGGGGUUAGAAUAAAAACAUGGGGAAAACCCACCACCGGCAAUGUAAAUGGUGUCGUCUUCCACCAUAUUAUAAUGCAAGACGUUGAAAACCCAAUUAUCAUUGAUCAGGAAUAUUGUCCCGCCGGAAACUGCAAUAACCAGCCGUCGAGAAUUAAGAUUCAUGAUAUCACGUUCUCCGAUAUCAGAGGAACCUCGUCGUCGUUGAUCGCGAUCAAUUUUGUGUGCAGUAGUUCAACACCGUGUCAAGAUAUAAAAUUGAUCGACGUAAAACUCAAUCCCGGCAAAGAUGUUAAUGGUCAAGCGCUACAAUCUAGUUGCAAAAAUGCUCAAGGAUCAACUUCCGGCGAUGUAGCUCCGGUGUCAUGCUUCUGAAUGUUUUUCUUUUCAAAUAAUAAUUUUUAUAGGCUAGGGUAGGCCCAUUAUAUUAUUUAUGGCCCACGAUUUUCGGCCCAUCAUGUAAUCUUUCUUUCAAUCAAGUUGGUUUAUUGGUGCUUUUAGAGUAGAAGGCUCAUUAUAUUAUUUAUGGCCCAUUAUUUUAGGCCCAUCAUGUAAUUUUUCUUUCAAUAAAGUUGGUUUAUUGGUGCUUUUAGAGUAGGCCCAUUAUAUUAUUUAUGGCCCAUUAUUUUCGGCCCAUCAUGUAAUUUCUUUCAAUAAAGUUGGUUUAUUGGUGCUUUUAGAGUAGGCCCAUUAUAUUAUUUAUGGCCCAUGAAUUUCGGCCCAUCAUGUAAUCUUUCUUUUAAUCAAGUUGGUUUAUUGGUGUUUACAAAAAAAGUUAGUUUAAUGAAAUUUAAUUACUUAAAAAAAAAACCAUAGUUUUUAGAAUUUUUUUAUCGGAUAAUUUUCGGGUUGACCCGAUUAAGAUUAUUCAAAUAUUUUUUAAAAUUAAGCAAACAAAACCUAAAUUCUCGCGUCUCUGCGACUGCUCCUCAGCGACCUUACUCUUAGCUCCGUCACGGCGAACCUCAAAUUCUCGCCGUCGAUGAAUAGAUACUCAUCCUCGGAUCCUCGUUCCCAUACCUUUUCCAAGUACGAUCCUUCUUGAACAGCUUUUUACCUUCAUCUUCUGGUAGAGAAGCCGAGUCUUCUUCUUCCUCCUGUAAUAUCUUUCGUAAUCAAUCCUCAAGUAAGAAUUUCUGAUUUGUUUUUUUGAUCUUCGUAAUAGAAUUUUUUGUGUGUGUAAUUGUAUCCAUCAAAUGAGAAUGUUCGAUGUUGGAAUUAGGAUUUUUUUAGGGUUGGGAAUUUUAGGUUUUUUCUUCUUCUGUUCUAUUGUUCUGAUAUUGUUUUUGUUGUUAAUGAUGGUGACAAAUAGGCAGAUUUAGUUGUAUAGAAUUUGGAAACAGCAGCAGUAUAAAUGGAUUCCGUAAAUGGGUUGAUUUCUAAAUCAUUAUGUCAACAGCCACUCUUUUCCUUUGGAGUUAUUGCUGAUGUCCAGUAUGCAGAUAUUCCUGAUGGUCAUUCAUUCCUUGGUGUUCCUCGAUACUACCGCCAUAGUAUUCUGGUUCUACAAAGGGCAAUUAAAAAAUGGAACACUUGUUCCAACCUCCAAUUCUCCAUAAACUUUGGAGACAUAGUUGAUGGUUUUUGCCCUAAAGAUGAUUCAUUGACGGCUGUUCGAAAAGUUCUUGAAGAGUUUGCGACCUUUAAUGGUCCUGUUUACCACAUGAUUGGUAACCACUGUUUGUACAACCUGGCUCGAUGUGAGUUAACUUCACUCUUUAAGAUACCCUCGAUCGAUGGGUCUGCGCAUUACGACUUCUCCCCGACACCUGGAUACAGGAUAGUGGUUCUUGAUGCCUAUGACAUCAGUGCAUUAGGUUGGCCUCAUGAUCAUCCAAAGACUCUGGCUGCAAAAUUGAUUUUGGACGAGAAGAAUCCCAAUACUGACAAGAACAGUCCAGAGGGAAUGAUGGGACUUGAUCAAAGGUUCCUGAUGUUUAAUGGCGCUGUAGGUGAAAAACAGCUGAAAUGGCUCGAUGAUAUACUCAAAGAAUCGACGGAAAAAGAACAAAAGGUCAUUGUGUGCUGUCAUAUUCCAUUGAAUCCUGAUGUCACACCACUGGCAGCACUCCUGUGGAACUAUGACGAGGUUAUGGAAGUGAUUUACAGAUACAAGUGUGUGAAAGCUUGUCUUGCUGGUCAUGCUCAUGAGGGCGGCCAUUCAAUUGAUUCUCAUGGCAUUCAUCAUCGCGUUCUUGAAGCUGCACUAGAGUGUCCUCCUGGUUUCGAUGCUUUUGGGCAUAUUGACGUCUAUGAUGACAGGAUACAUCUUAUUGGCAGCAAUCGAUUGGCAAAUACAGAGAUGGUUUUCACUUCUUAAGAAUUCUGCUCUGAUUGUAAUAAAUUUUCUCUGAUAGAUAAUAUUCAAUAAACAAAUCAUCAAUGUUUGUUUGUAACUUUGUUUGUAUUUAGAUGACUCUCUAUAAUAAUUAAUAUAAGAAAAGGUAACAAAAUGGUUGAUAUAGAUUAAUUUUUUUGCAAAGUAGCAAAUGAAAAAUAAUUACUGCAGGUUUGCAAUGGAAAAAGUUUGCAAGAAAUAAAUACUUAAUUGCCUUCCAUUGUACUACUAUCUUCCUUCUAAAGUAUUACAAAUCUCAGCAGAAAAAACACAGCACAUUAAUGACAUUAUUUUUGUCUUUUUUGGUGUCAAAAAUAGUCCCCCAUUGAAACUUGUGCUACCAUCACCACAUUCUUCACCAUCUCCUCUCCCUUGAUAAAGGCCUAGAUUUAGGGUUUAAAGAACAUUAGUCCAAAUUUGAAAUGAAAUAAACCAAAGUAAAAGAAUAAUCAACAAAGAAAGAACCACCUGUUACUCUGAUUGCCAAAAAAACCUCCCUCUCUAUUUCCAGUGCGAAAACCUCUUCUUUCCUCUGACGAUCGGCUCCAUGCGUCACCUACACUCCCACGCGAACCAGGCCUUUCAUUGUAAUUUGAGCUCCUUGAUUCAUCAGGAAUGCUGGAUCUUGAUGGUGGUCUGCUGCCUGGUCCAAACUCAUUGACGGACCUCUGACCGAACUUAACUUUGUCAUCAAGGUCAUGCAUCAACUGUUCCAGUUCCUUUUCCCUUGCGAUGAUUUCAUCAUUGAGUUUGUUUAUCUCUUCACUGGAAUGUUCUGUAGAUUCACCAGUAUCUGUCAGAAUGCUUAAUGUCUUCCUGUGAUCGCUGAUCAACUCUUUUAACAUCUUUUCAUGCUCCGAUUCAAUCCUAGUAUCAUGUCAGGGAAGUAAAAUAAAAAUAUAUUCUCACCAUCAAGAUUGCAAUUAGUAAUCUAAUUCUUUCUUGUCAAUCCAAUUUUUUUAUUUAUUUUCUAUGAUUUAGUUUGGGUUUGGAUAUCCAAGUUUAAGUAGGUUAUGCUUCAAAAAAAAAAGUGAUCAACAUGUUUCCCUUGCGAAGAUUUUGCAGCCAAUGUUCAGAUUUAGCCAACGCGAUACGCUAUUAGCAGUACCGCUAAUAACACUUAAAAGAAAUAUCACAAGUUAGUGUGCGCUAUUUUAUCGCUAAAUUGCGCUAAAAUAGUGCAUGUAACUCUAUUGACAGAAAUGGAGUAAAAACUAAAAAAUAAUAAUUUAAUACUACUUUAGAUUAAUGAGCUGAUAGGUUAUAAUAGGAUAAUGGGCCAAUGAAAUAAAUGAACUAACAGAUUCUCGAAUUCUCUAUUUCUGAUCUCAGAGCACCAUUUAGAACAGAGCACAACUUCAUUCUGACGUCCUUCAGCCAUUCAGAGCACCAACUUAUAACAGAAGAAAGCUAGCUAAUAAAGUAAUGAGAAUUAGUUAUGUUCAGAUAAUAAUACUAUAUUCAUUAGGAUCGACAGGUUUAAAAUGCACCAAGGCGUGGUACGCCAAUAAGACAGUAACCAAUGCCUUGAUGCAUUAAAAAUACAUAUACUCAAUGCAUGUGCCUAAUGCACCCCAUGCAUUUUAUAUAUAUUACAUAUAAAUUACAGAGUACAGAAAAAAAGGAAAAGAAGUGUGGAAUCGUGUCGAAAUAUGAAAGAGCCUUCAUAAUAGAAUUUGCAAAAUACAAAUCUUAUAUCUCAACUGAUAAGAAAAAUGGAUGGAAAAAAUCAUUCAUUUUUUCUUUUUAUUUAGGUUAUUAUUUGGGUAAUUAGGCGAAUCAAAAGCACCUGAAUACCCGAUUAAUUGAGGAGAGGGAAAAGUUUGACUCCUCCUGCGCUUAAGUGUACAAGGGUGCUGUUGGUGCCAUGGACUGCGGCCCAUGGACCAAACAGGGCCUGUCGGCGGCCCAGGCGAGUGGACGGGCCCAACGCAUGAGCCCACGAGGCCCGAGGUCGGCGAUAGGAGGCUAUAAAUACCUCCCCUGGUCCAACAGGGGAGGGGGUUGAUAAAUCUAGAGAGUGAACUUGCACUGAGUUGUGGUUGUGAGCUUACUCCGGCGAGCCCACACACCAACAAGUGCAUAAUACAAUCUUAUACACGAGCAUUAUAAACCACAAGUGAAUUUAACAAAUUGCCAAAAUAAAUAAUGUAAUAAAGCGAUAAGAAUUCAGGAUCCACCUUUCAACUUUAAAAAUACGAUGCUAGAACAUGUUGAUCGAUUAGGGUUUUUGUGCAAACCACAAUCCAAAAAUUUGUGAAUGAAUAUGCACACCGAAUUAGGCAAUAUGAUUCAAAGUGAUAUGAUUUGUUAAUUAAACUAAGAACUAAGAAAGAAAAAGAGUUUCACCUGUCAAUGCUGCGGUGUUCAAGUUCUAUGUCAAUUUUCCUCCAAUCCUUCCCCCUUUCCUCCAACAAAAUCUCCCUUGGCUUUGCAUCUCCAAAAGGAUUGCUCUUUGGCCGGGGCUUUACAGCCAUCUCCGGUGCCGAGUUUGUGUUCAAUGAACUUGUAGAAUCCCUUGACUGUGCGCUCCCAGGCCUACUAUUUGUUUUCUUUGUUUCAAUGUCAAUAUCAACCUUCCUCCAAUCCACACCCUUCUCUGCCAAAACUUCCUCUCUUGGUCUUGCUGCCCCAAACACGCUUGCAUGAGUCUUACCGGCUCCAUCACCACCUCCAACAGCUGCAACCACGUCAGUAGUAGCAUUCUUCUUCGGUGGAUCAAGGACCAACCUUGUUCUGACUCGGUCACCAUUUAUCCUAGUCACACCUCCAAAAUCUCCAGCACUUCCACCCCCAAAAUCUCUUCCUCUAGCCCACCUGUCAGAAUCAGCUGACCCUGAAGAAGAAUCAUGAAAUCCAAAUCCAGAACCCCUGGCAGGGGGGAUCAUCUGUUUUUUUCCAGCACCCCAAUUGUCUACUUCAUCCGCCCUCAUUCCUCCUCCACCACCACCAUUUCCAAGAUUCUCAUAUCGAUCACGCGAUUCACGGCGUGGCAUAUCCCCAGCAAAACUCUUCUUUCCAGCACCCCAAUUGUCAGCAUCAUCAGCCCUGGAAGAAACUUGUUCAUAUCCAGAUCUCGCCCCUUCCUCUCCAAACCCAGUACCAUAACCUCUCCUCCCUUCACCCUCAUCCCUCCUUCCUCCUCCUCCUCCUCCACCAUAAGAUCCGUAGUUCCGAAAUCCACCACCGUGCCUUCCCUGCUCAAUCUCUUCCGCCGUCCUCUCUCUCGGACCGGUGGGCAACCUAAGAAUCUCAUCCGGAGUCAAUCCCUUUGCUUCGAUAAUCGGAUCCCUUCCCGACCUUCCAAAUCCAGGACCGACAUGAGCCCCAGUCGUGAACUCCGACAAAGACAACUUCGUCCCCUUGUUCUUCUUCUUAGGUUUCACCGCAACCGCCUCUUUAAGGCUCGGGAAAGACUGAGACGGCGGCUCUAUGAUUUCGUCUGCCUCCGCUUGUUCCGCUUCCAACGCCCACGAUCCCAUCCCUCCGCCCCAUGGUUUGGUACUCGGAUUCGACGCCAUCGUCGGAAUUAGGGUUUUUUCCCCCUUCUCUCGUAUCAAGAUCUCUGUGUACGUCCUAUUGCAGUCCGAGCGUAUACUCUGCUAUAAUACACCGUUCCGAAAAAAUUCUUUGAUGUAAUUAUCAUUUAUAGUUUUUUUUUUCGAUCUUUAUUUAUAGUAAAUUCAUGCAAGGAUCAUUUUGUAAAUAUCCCAUCCAACCAUUCCAAUUAUUCCAUACAUGUAAAUAGAUAUGUAAACAAUUAAACAUAAGGAUAAAGAAUCAUUUAGAUUGCAAGGAAUCAUUUAACAAACUAGAUCUAAGAUUCGUAAAAAAAACAUCGUGUUCGUGUAAUAAGAUGAAACACGACAUUCGGUUAAGUGUUUGUCUUUAAAAACACGACACGAUAAGUUUAUAAGAUGAAAGACAUUUUAUAAAAAAAUUUAUUUUGUGUUCGUGUCGUGUUCGUGUCAGUUUGACGACAGAUCGUGUUCAUGUAAUGUUCUUGUCGAUGAAAAAAUUAAUCGUAUUAGUAGUGUUCGUGUCGUGUAGUGUUACAUGAAUUAUCAGGCCUAGAUGUAACCGUCUGACCGAUAAUAUAUUAUAUGACUCUUGUAUAUCACCUUCCGUUAUAAAAAAACAUCGACAAAAGGCAAAAAUAAAAUUACCAUAGGGACAUUAGCUCAACUGUAUAGGUUCACGUGAUUCUUAGAAAGGAAUCUAGUGGAUAAAUGUUUGAAUUGUAGGACCAAUAGUACGAUUGUGUGGAGAUCUGAUGAUAUUUCGACAAACAAGUUGGGAGGAAUGAUGGAAAGUAUUAAAGAUAGAAAACAUAAAAACAUGUUAGCUAAGAAAAUUUGGUUGAAAAUGCUGACAAAAUUCUCUAUUCUCUUGUGAAAGAGUGAAAUUGGACCACCUAAACAAAUUCAGAAAGUUAAAAAUUAAAAAGUGCAAAUACUUGCUGUUGGCUUUUUAUGCAAUUUGAAAGAUGAAUUUAGGAGUCAUCUUUUUUUCAACUGUUUUUAUUUCAGAUAUCUCUUAAUUCCAUUGGCUGAACACCUGGAUCUCGUUUUCUGAAAAAUAAUGAAUAUUCCAGUUCCCACCCAAUCCAGUCUAGAUAUUAGACUGAGGGAUAUGACGGAAGCUGCGUAAAAAAUUACGCAUCACUCUCCCCCUUGGGGGCUACUAUGGAAUGUUAUUGGGUUUUUGUCAUGACAUACAUGAAUGGAAAUAAAAUAUACAUACAACAUGUUAGUAGAUCGAUCUCUUGAGGUAGUCUUUAAGAAGGUCAUUAAAGACAUCAGUCUCUCCUGUGAUCCGGAGUGUUACAAAAAAAGUGUUGUUACUUGUCAUUUUUUUGGAAACAUUUAUAAUGGAAGUAUAAGAGAUCAACUUUCUGAGACAGCAUAUCUAGUUACUGUAUAGUUAAUAGUUAUAGUUAAUAGGAGAGAGUCAAUAAACUUGUUGUUCAUUUUUUUUACUUUUGUUUUUAUUUCUAUAAUCUAUAUAAUUGUUUUUAAAAAAAAACCGAUCACGUUAACUAUUAAAUUUUCUGAGAGUCUCAUUGUGUAAGCAUUUUCUUUAAAAUUGAGUUAAUUCAGUUACAUUGUGUACGCAGUCUUGUAUACGGAAUUAACGAAUUUUCCAUCUUUUAUUUUUAAAAAGAGGUUGGGUCACUUUCGAAAUUUUCCCAUAUAAAAUAAUACAAUAACUUGUAAACAUUACUUGUGCGAUUGGCAGUUAUUAUAUAUAUAUUACCGAGUUGAGUUGGUGAUAAGGAAGAACAACAAGUGAUUGGUGUAACUGUUAUUAUAGGAAUUAGGAAGCGACGUUUUUUGAACACUUGUGUUACUAACCCUUGAUUCACUACAAUGGACUGCCCUUUUUUUAUAACGGAGGGUAUCUCUCUACAGAUGUAAAGUUGUCAACAUCCAGAUCGAUGAUAUAUCAGAGCCACAUAUAUAAUAUAUCAGAGCCACAUAUAUAAUAUAUCAUCGGACAAAUUUAAGUAGAAAUGUACAAAAUAAGAUUCGAAUCUUGUACAUCAGAAACCUUAAUAUAUAGUUUCUGAGACCAUUGAGUCAACCUUACUUUGUAAAAUCUUUACAAUCCUGGACUGGCUGGUGUAUCCUAAACUGCCCUAAGGCUUACAUCAGCUAAUUUAUUAUUUUAUUUAUAUUGAUGGGUUAAUGACAAAAAUAUAUAUAUAAAAAAUCACAUCAGAAAUUAGUUAUUUUAAUUAUAUUAUUGUUUGUUUCCAUAUAUAUAUUAUAUCUUAUUGGAAUCAAAUCUUAUAAAUAAAUAAUAAGGAAUUGAUCAGAUACGACCGGAUUCAGUGUGUCUAAUUACUCUAACCCUAACCCUAACCCUAACAACAAUCAAAUUCUAACUUAAAUUGAUAUUAAUCUCAAUUAUAUGUUAAAGACGUACAAAAUAAAUUAUACCUGAAAUGAUUUCAGAUAACGUAAACCCUAGAGUUAUCAAUUGUAAAUAAACCCUAGCUAGAUCGUCAAUAAAAGUUCAACAUAUAUAAAAUGUCUGUUUCCCCGGCCCUCUCUAAUGACUUGUCGAUUAAAUUUAAUUUGAUCUGACGUCAGAUAUAAAUUUAAGAUAUUAUCGUUUAGUUAUAAUUAAAAACCAAUGGAUAUUUUUUAUACUCUUCCAUAAAAUCUGGUUGUCCAUGGAAUAUAUGCUAAUAACAGAAAGACGGUUGAGUAAUAAACCAAUAAAUACAUGCAAACUAGAUACGAAAAUAAGACAACAAUAAGAUACCACCUAUCGUGAUCGUACCUACUACCUAGCUAGAUAGAUACAGGUCUCUAUCGACCUAAUAAUUUCCAGUGGUAUAUUUAAACAACACGUACAGAAUCUUGCUAGCUUCACCAUCAACUUCGGUAGAUCAAGAAGAUAUAAAAAUGGCUGAUAAGAAGAUGAUUGUUUUGGUGGCAUUGAUGGUUGUUGCAGCAGUAAGCGUAGUGGAUGGUCAGAGAAUUUGCAAUAUAAGCCGGACUGAAUUCGAUGAGUGUUUGCCAGCGAUGAUCGCUCCAGACCCAACUUUUCCAUCAAAGAGAUGUUGUGAGAAUAUUCACAAUGCUGACUUGCCUUGCAUGUGCUCUUACAAGGAUUCCUACCUUGCAACCACCGUUCUUCAGGUUGACACAGAACUCGCCAUGAAGAUCCCCAAAAAGUGUGGGCGUGUUCUGCCAUCCCCGUGUUGAUCGAUCAAUUAACCAUUCUUGGAACAUAUAUAUGAUUUUGUGCAUUUUGGAUUUUAUCUUUGGUUUAAUUUGUUCACAUAAAAUAGGUUGGUAACUCUUGUUGUUUUAUUUUCAAUGUUUCAUUAUGUAUUUAUUCAUUUUCAAUUUAUUCAAUACCAUAUUUGUUAAUUAUAAACCCUAAAUAACUCUUGUUGUAUUUAGGGUUUCGCUAUUUCAUAUUAUUUUGUUAUAAUUUGUGCUCGAAAAAUAUAUAUAAUCGUUUAUAGUGUUCACUUAACAUAUAUCAUUAGGUAAAUAUGAAACAAGCGGAUUAAUAUCAGUAAGUAUGUGAUUAGGUUUUAAUAAUUAAGGAAAUUAAGUAUCAUAGUAAUAGAGAAGAAUAAGUUAAUUAAUAACAUUUUUUUUUGUAUCUGAUGAUACCCUCGACCUACUAGAGUGGCCCAACAGGAGCAUGAACGGACCAGACCCAUAGGGGGGAGUACUGAGGAUAUACCCUUGGCCCACUGGUUGUUAUAAUUAACUAGAUAGACUUUGUUAAAUCUUUCACUACUCAAUGACGAUUAGAGAAUAAUCCGCGUGUCUUCUAUGGUUUCUCUAGUAUAUAUGCCUAAUGCCCAUGUCACUGUUGCAAUAGUAAGCCAAGUAAGCCCACAACACGAUCCACCCGCGGUCCUCCUCUGUUCGGCCUUCUUCCAUGUACCCAUCUAGUGUAGAUAGGUAAUUAGAAGGGAAAAGUUAGGUCUAAUAUCGGUAAGAAAGAUUUAUUUUCUAGUGUUUGUAAUGAUAAUAUCAGUAUCAAAAUAUGACACAUUGUUGAGAACAAUUGGAUUGAAAAAAAAAUAUUUUUAAAUUUUGUUAAAUGAUUUAAAAUUAGCCCAUCAGAGAAAAAAUUUCUGGAUUCGCCGCUAAUUUGGUCGUUGGGUUUUCAUUCACCAAAUAUUAAUCAUAGGGCGUGGUUACCUAAACCAUAAUCAACCUCACCCACUCAUUCGAAAAAUUAAAGACCUUUAUGAUUUCUGCCAAAGUCUUCCAAAGAGGAAAUCCGCGAUAGGGGAAGGACGUCAAAGUCAACCAGGUUAAAGAAACCAUCGAUUUCAGUUAUUUUUAUAUAAUUGCGAAUUUGUAAUAACAAUUAGGUCGUUGUUUAAAAAAAAGAACAACUAACGAUUAUGCAGAUUAAUAAAGUCUGAAAUUUUCCAUAACCGCCUACCUUGAUUCAAUCGAUUAAGUUGGGAUCGAGUUACAUCAAUUCAAAUGUUCGCCUCUUUUCAUUAUCGUAAUUAAUCUGAUCGUUGAAUCAAAGACUCUACUAGGACAUUAAUUAAGGUGACCUCGAUAUCUGAUAUUUACUUAUCGUACCUCCGAUCUUAGAUCUGAGACAUCUUUUCUAUCAGGUUCAAUUAUUCUUGAUUGAAUUGAUCUUGAAAGUUCACACUGAUCAGAUAUAGCUAUACACUACAGGAUUCCUGGGUUUCAGCAACAAUAAAAAAUCGUCGCUAAAUGUCAAAAAUCAUCGUUAGUGAUGCAAAUACUAAAUCGACUUGUGUAGUCCAAAUUUUUUUAAUAUGCGAACUUAGAAGGAAUGAACUCUAGAUCUAAAGACGUCUUAAAUAUAAAGGUGUAAUAUAUAUAAUGGCAACACUUCAAUGCCUACCUCCGAGCGGUGAUAUAUCAGAGUCACAUAAUAUAUUAUCGGUUGCAUCGUAGUGGAAUUUAAAGAAAAUACGUACACAACAUGAUUCGAACCCCUGGACCUUUAGAAACUUUAAUAGUUAUUGUACAUCAUAUGAGCUAGUCUCCCUGUGUGAAAGAAGUUGGUCUUCCCCUCCUUGUUUUUUUGUUCCAAUUCGUAGAAAUGGUUACAAACGAUAAUAAACAGUUUUAAAAGAGAUUAUUGCAUGUACUCUUUGAUGUGGGGAAAGGAAAAUGUAAGAUUAAGUUUGGUUUGGGAGAAGACAGAAUGAAUCUGUUUAAAAUAGCUACAUUAAUGAGUUCCACUACAAGAAAAAGGAUUAUCUGUCUGCAAAAUCAUAAGUUGGUCGCUUAUAAAAAAAACGACCAACUUUUUGUUCACUAUGUUAGUCGCAAGAAACCUCGUCGUUAGUGAUCUAUAAACGACCAACUUUUUGAGUUGGUCGUUUGAAGGUGACCAACUUGGUUGGUCGCUCAAUAAAUCUAAAUAUAUUUGACCAAAUUUUUUGUGCCAACAUAAAGACGACCAACUUGGUUGGUCCCAAAAAUCUGGCACCAACAUAAGGAUAACCAAUUUAGUUGGUCGUAAAAAUUUGAUGCCAACGUUAGGGCGACUAUAUAAUUUGGUUGGUCCUAAAAAAUUGACACCAACAUAAGAGAAGAUUAGACAGCACUGGUCAAACUUAAGUGUCUUAUCCAUUUAAUAUAGUUUCAUCAGUUAAAUAUAAAUUUAAGAUAUUAUUUUUUAGUUAUAACACUUUCCUAUAAAAUCUGGUUGUCCAUGAAAUAUAUGCUAAUAACAAAAAAACGGUUGAAAAGUAAACCAAUAAAUACAUGCAAACUAGAUAUGAAAAUGAGACAACAAUAAAGCAACUCCUAUCGUCGAUCAUCGUACAUACGUAGUACUUAGCUAGAUACAGGUCUCUAUUGACCUAAUAAUUUCCAGUGGUUUAUUUAAAUAACACGUGCAUAAUCUUUCUAACUUCGGUAGAGAAGAUAUAAAAAUGGCUGAUAAGAAGAUGAUUGUUUUGGUGGCAUUGAUGGUCGUUGUAGCAGUAAGCAUAGUGGAUGGUCAGAAAGUUUGCAACAUUAGUCGGACUGAAUUCGAUGAGUGUUUGCCAGCGAUGACCGCUCCAGACCCAACUUUUCCAUCAAAGGAAUGUUGUGAGAAUAUUCACAAUGCUGACUUGCCUUGCAUGUGCUCUUACAAGGAUUCAUACCUUGCAACCACCGUUCUUCAGGUUGACACAGAACUCGCCAUGAAGAUCCCCAAAAAGUGUGGGCGUGUUCUGCCAUCGCCGUGUUGAUCGAUCAAUAAUUAACCACUCUUGGAACAUAUAUAUGAUUUUUACAUGUAUUAGAUUUUAUCUGUGAUUUAAUUUGUUCACAUUAUAAAAUCGACCGAGAUUGGAUAACUGUUGUUGUUUUAUUUACAAUGUUUCGUUAUGUAUUUAUUCAUUUUCAAUUUACUCAAUACCAUAUUUCUCAUUGGUUUUUCCAUUUCAUAUUCUUUCGUUAUAACUUGUGCUCGAAAAAUAAUAUAUAUAACCGUUCAUUAUAUAGUCGGUAAAUUAAUUAAUAUUAGUUGAAGGUUUAGGGUUAGGGUUAGGGUUAGAAUUUCAGUGUACAUAUAUUUUAAUUUUUAUUUACUUAUGUACCAUAUACCUUAUUAUAAAAACGAGUCGACUCUGCAGUGUCGCGAUUCAUCUUGACUAGGGAUACAAACGAGUCUAGUUAAGCUUUGCAGGAAUUGCUCGAACUCGAUGAGAAAUUUUUGAACUUGAACUAAGGUCGAUUAAACAAAACUCGAACUUGAACUCAAAUUUUAAAAAAAUCUGAAAUAAUUAUAAGUUAUAAUAUCUAUUGUAAGUUUUCUCGAUAAAAGAAGACAGGAGUUGAAUAAGAUGCAGGAAUAUUAUGGAAGGAGUUGAAGGUGCAUGAACAUGACGAGUUGAAAUUUUGAAGGUAGAGGACGAUUUAAUCUGUUUUCAAGAGUUGAAGGUGUUGAAGUUGGAAGACGACAAGAGUUGAAGAUGAUGUUUUAGUUGAAGGUUUAAUCUGCUUCCAGGAGUUGAAGGUGUUGAAGUUGCUAGAGUUGUAGGACGACAAGAGUUGAAGAUAUUUAUAUAGGAAGACGUUUUAGGAAUUACGAUUUAUUUAAUUUUCAACAACUUUUCUCUUUAAUAUUUUUCUUUACUAUAUCGUGAGCAAUGAUAGAUUUAAUUUCGAUUUAAAAGAAAUGAUGUGAUAGAAUGAGAAAAUAAUUAAAAAAUUAUGAUGAGCGAAUUCCAUAAAAUAACCAGGGGUUGAUGAUGAAGACUGAAAUAUCCCACCAGCACUCGCGGUGGUGCGAGCGGUCGUCUUCUCGAGUCAGAAGCUCUGGAAUCCACAAAAACCGCUCUACGUCAAGUCUUUAGUGGAGGAUCGACGAUUUAGGCGUCAAAUUGGUGAUUGCUCCGUAAAUAUCGCAUUGGAAGGUUUAGAACUGAUGUCUUAGACGUGCUCCGGGGGUCUCCUUUUAUAGGGCCUCGGGAGGCGACAUCAGCGAAGGAGAUCACGCCUGGGCCAUAAUUACGCCAGACUGGACGCAGGUAAUGGCCCCUAAAUCGGUGAUUUAGAGUGGAAUCGACGAGUUGAAGGAAAAAUCGCGAAAUUUCCAGGACUCUGGUGACCUUCUCCCAAAAUCGACGAUUUACCUCAUCAAAUCGGCAAUUUGGGGGGCUGACUUUUGUCUCAACAUGGACCUUUGGUUUCGCUUCCGUGGAAGCCUUCUGGGGGUCCAACAUAUAGCGAACGGAACCUUGGUUCUUGUUGAUGAAAAGGACAGGUGUACAAUCUUGUAUCACCAAGUGACUUUACUCAUUUUUGGAUUUUCCGAACCACCGUUAAUGUAAAAAUCAACGGUGAAUUCAUAGGCAGCCUUCAAUGAAGAUAAGAGGCUCAACCUCUUUUGAAAUUUACCCUAUUAAUAAAGUGUAUAAAACCCGGGUCAGAUUGGGCUUUAGGCCGACCUGGAUUUGAUCCAAAAAAUGAUCGGGUCACUGGGUCAGAAUUAAAUUUACAUUCGAAAAAUUAGGUAAAUGACACGGUCCUAAUUAAUGACCAAUCGGGGCCAGGUAACAAACAGGCCGAUCCAGACCCAUUCUCAUCCCUAAUCUUUUUACACUCAACGUGAAGUUGGGCCAUUUCAAAUACCCCUUUGGAUGUGCAUGAUUCAUGGUUCUUGCACAGCAGUACAAAGAUACUUUCUUGAAUCUGAUUAUAUAUUGUUGGUGCCAUGCAUGGCUCAUUCAGCGGAUCAUGGACCGAACAGAUCACGAGCCCGACCGGGCGAUGGGCCUGAGCCAAAGGAGGCCUAGGAGACCAAGGGACCCUGGAACGAAUCCCAUCAUAAAUACCUCCCCUGGUCUAACAGGGGGAGGGGCUGGAAAAUAGAAAAGAGAAUACACUAGAGAGAGUUGUGUGCGUCUGUGAGCGACCGAUUUGUAACCCCACACACCAUCAUAUAUGAUGAGUAUGUUGUUACACAUUCCAGUGGUGCAAUAUUUUAUCGUUAAGUUGCUAUGACUGUCAGUGCAUGACCUAACUCUCUAUGCAGUAGAAUUUGAUAUUUGACAAAAUCUAAACUUUUGCAUUUUGUAUAUGAUUUUUUUUACAUAACGAGACUCGAACUCUGGACCGUCAGAAACCUUAAAUACUGAUUUUUAAAAAAGAAUUGAACACAAAUACAUUUAUUUUUUCAACAACAUAAUUGACAAAAUUUCAAUAACCUGAAAAUUUAUGAAGGGUAUUCGGUAUCCCCUCACAUUCAAUCUUGCACCUAUUCUAGCUUCUCCCAUACUUAGGUAUAUAUAUCCUUUACAUUUUCUUCCAUAAAUAACUUUUUUGAGAGGGGAUUUUCUUGUUGGGGAUUAUUAAUGGAAAUUCGUCACUAAAUCAUAGAUGUUGAAUUCGUCACUAAAAGUCAACCAUACAAUGUCUUUUUUUGGUGUCUUAUCCAUUUAAUCUAGUUUAAUCAGUUAAAUAUAAAUUCAAGAUGUUAUCUUUUAGUUAUAACACUUUUUCCAUAAAAUCUGGUUGUCCGUGCAAUAUAUGCUAAUAACAAAAAGACGGUUGAAAAGUAAACCAAUAAAUACAUGCAAACUAGAUACGAAAAUAAGACAACAAUAACAUACCACCUAUCGUGAUCGUGCCUAUUACCCUAGCUAGAUAGAAUAUACAGGUCUCUAUCGACCUAAUAAUUUCCAGUGGUAUAUUUGAACAACACGUGCAGAAUCUUGCUAGCUUCACCAUCAACUUCGGUAGAGAAGAUAUAAAAAUGGUUGAUAAGAAGAUGAUUGUUUUGGUGGCAUUGAUGGUCGUUGCAGCAGUAAGUAUAGUGGAUAGUCAGAAAGUUUGCAACAUAAGCCGGGCUGAAUUCAAUGAGUGUUGGCCAGCGAUGACUGCUCCAAACCCAACUUUACCAUCAAAUCAAUGUUGCGAGAAUAUUCGCAAUGCUGACUUGCCUUGCAUGUGCUCUUACAAGGAUUCAUACCUUGCAUCCACCGUUCUUCAGGUUGACACAGAACUCGCCAUGAAGCUCCCAAAAAAGUGUGGACUUGUUCUGCCUUCCCCGUGUUGAUCGAUCAAUUGACCAUUCUUGGAACAUAUAUGUGAUGUUGGAUUUUAUUUGUCGUUUUUUCAAAUAAAAUCGAUAGAAGUUGGUAAUUGUUGUUGUUUUGUAUUUCAGUUAAUGUUUCGUUAUGUAUUUAUUCAUUUUCAAUUUACUCAAUAACAUAUUUCUCAUUGGUUUCGCAAUUUCAUAUUACACUGUCAUACAUAUAUCUCUCGUCCGUCAUCUUCAAUCUUCGAUCUCUUAAAAGAAUCUCGUUCGACGACUGCUAAUUUCUUAAA
RNAcentral lists this long non-coding RNA (37849 nucleotides) under Zostera marina. RNAcentral's name for it is "long non-coding RNA (ZMAR_LNC004891)". Lineage: Eukaryota; Viridiplantae; Streptophyta; Magnoliopsida; Alismatales; Zosteraceae. The record is from RNAcentral.